AAAAGAGCAACACCUUUGCUCUAACGGAGCUUACAUUCUAGUGAAUUAAGGCUCAUGCAUAGCAAUUCUAUGACGAGGUGGCUAAAGAUCCUCCAUACUUGGAAACUGCAGGCUCUCAUUCUUCUAGUGUUUCAGAACUCCUAUGGUCACCUGGUCCAUGUCUCUCAUUUUGCCCACGAGGAAAGUGAGAGCUGGAGAGGUAAGAUGAUUUGUUCACAGUCACAGAGUGAUGAAGCUGGGACAAGACCUCAGGUUUCCAACUUUCUUUCAAGGUGUUUUCCCCUAUAUUGCGUUAAAUUCCACCAACCAGCAAACGUGAAGUCAGGCCUACUCAGUGAGCUGCUCCAAAUGCCUCUGAAGCAGUUGACAUUGAUGAAUUUCCCUCUUUUUAAAUUUAAAAGUAAUAAUGCAACCAAAUAGCAAUGUAACCAUUAAAAGAUUUAAAAUGUAAAACUAGAAUUUAACAAGCAAAAUACUUAAUAUGACUUUUAAUGGAAAGUAACUAUUUAGAAAUGAUUAUGU
Ceratotherium simum simum (southern white rhinoceros) is the source of this 522-nucleotide non-coding RNA. The record is from RefSeq and is a predicted model, not a curated record. NCBI's taxonomy places the organism in Eukaryota, Metazoa, Chordata, Mammalia, Perissodactyla, Rhinocerotidae.